RNAcentral lists this ribosomal RNA (497 nucleotides) under uncultured bacterium. Its description in RNAcentral is "partial 16S ribosomal RNA". It matches the Rfam family "Bacterial small subunit ribosomal RNA", at positions 28 to 507 of the family's 1533-position model. The record is from RNAcentral.
GAUGAACGCUGGCGGCGUGCCUAAUACAUGCAAGUCGAGCGAACGGACGAGAAGCUUGCUUCUCUGAUGUUAGCGGCGGACGGGUGAGUAACACGUGGAUAACCUACCUAUAAGACUGGGAUAACUUCGGGAAACCGGAGCUAAUACCGGAUGAUAUUUUGAACCGCAUGGUUCAAAAGUGAAAGACGGUCUUGCUGUCACUUAUAGAUGGAUCCGCGCUGCAUUAGCUAGUUGGUAAGGUAACGGCUUACCAAGGCAACGAUGCAUAGCCGACAUGAAAGGGAGAUCGGCCACACUGGAACUGAGACACGGUCAGGACUCCUACGGGAGGCAGCAGUAGGGAAUCAUCCGCAAUGGGCGAAAGCCUGAAGGAGCAACGCCGCGUGAGUGAUGAAGGUCUUCGGAUCGUAAAACUCUGUUAUUAGGGAAGAACAUAUGUGUAAGUAACUGUGCACAUCUUGACGGUACCUAAUCAGAAAGCCACGGCUAACUACGUG